Molecule: long non-coding RNA, 273 nt
Organism: Passer domesticus (house sparrow)
Lineage: Eukaryota; Metazoa; Chordata; Aves; Passeriformes; Passeridae
Exons: 3
Source: RefSeq, a predicted model, not a curated record
CUGAUCCUCUGACAGCGUGGAUAAUGCAGUCAGAGGCAGAACUGCUGCCCAGUGCAGUAAACAAAGCUCACUCUUCUGCAGGUCUUCAGGCUUAAAUGUGCUGCUUAAAAGAGCCUGUGAGCCUCAGUCUCUCCAUACCUGUGGAUUUACCCAGUUACAGCUGACUCGAGCCCAGAUGUAAACCACAGCCUUGUGGUGGCUACUGAGAGGAAAAUGAACUCCAUCCCAGUCAGAACCUGCACAAGGCAUGGGAGUACCACAGUGAAAAGGCAG